RNAcentral lists this ribosomal RNA (519 nucleotides) under uncultured bacterium. RNAcentral's name for it is "partial 16S ribosomal RNA". It matches the Rfam family "Bacterial small subunit ribosomal RNA", at positions 28 to 507 of the family's 1533-position model. The record is from RNAcentral.
GACGAACGCUGGCGGCGUGCCUAAUACAUGCAAGUCGAGCGAGUCUGCCUUGAAGAUCGGAGUGCUUGCACUCUGUGAAACCAGAUACAGGCUAGCGGCGGACGGGUGAGUAACACGUGGGUAACCUGCCCAAGAGAUCGGGAUAACACCUGGAAACAGAUGCUAAUACCGGAUAACAACAGAUGAUGCCUAUCAACUGUUUAAAAGAUGGUUCUGCUAUCACUCUUGGAUGGACCUGCGGUGCAUUAGCUAGUUGGUAGGGUAACGGCCUACCAAGGCGAUGAUGCAUAGCCGAGUUGAGAGACUGAUCGGCCACAUUGGGACUGAGACACGGCCCAAACUCCUACGGGAGGCAGCAGUAGGGAAUCUUCCACAAUGGACGCAAGUCUGAUGGAGCAACGCCGCGUGAGUGAAGAAGGGUUUCGGCUCGUAAAGCUCUGUUGUUGGUGAAGAAGGACAGGGGUAGUAACUGACCUUUGUUUGACGGUAAUCAAUUAGAAAGUCACGGCUAACUAAGUG